AACUUUGUCCAAAAGUAAUCCACCGCUAUAGACAGUACGACGAGCAAGCGGGACAAUUUUUGGAGGACGCCGAGGAACUGUUCUAGUUUCUUUGUCCGAAGAGGUUGUUCCAAAACAACUUGGUUUAAGCCGUGAUAAGUGAGUGGAAAGAUAGAUGUUUGCCAACCAUUAAGAACCCAGGAGGAUUCUCCACAUGAGACCAUGGGUGUCAGAGGGUGGCCAUAUUU
RNAcentral lists this small nucleolar RNA (227 nucleotides) under Lachancea thermotolerans CBS 6340. Lineage: Eukaryota; Fungi; Ascomycota; Saccharomycetes; Saccharomycetales; Saccharomycetaceae. The record is from RNAcentral.